RNAcentral lists this transfer RNA (86 nucleotides) under Chlamydia trachomatis. RNAcentral describes it as "tRNA-Ser(tga)". It matches the Rfam family "tRNA". From Rfam's summary of the family: Transfer RNA (tRNA) molecules are approximately 80 nucleotides in length. Their secondary structure includes four short double-helical elements and three loops (D, anti-codon, and T loops). Further hydrogen bonds mediate the characteristic L-shaped molecular structure. tRNAs have two regions of fundamental functional importance: the anti-codon, which is responsible for specific mRNA codon recognition, and the 3' end, to which the tRNAs corresponding amino acid is attached (by aminoacyl-tRNA synthetases). tRNAs cope with the degeneracy of the genetic code in two manners: having more than one tRNA (with a specific anti-codon) for a particular amino acid; and 'wobble' base-pairing, i.e. permitting non-standard base-pairing at the 3rd anti-codon position. The record is from RNAcentral. RNAcentral also lists the same sequence under 33 other names. Lineage: Bacteria; Pseudomonadati; Chlamydiota; Chlamydiia; Chlamydiales; Chlamydiaceae.
GGAAGAAUGGCAGAGCGGUUUAAUGCACCUGUCUUGAAAACAGGAGACCUGAAAGGGUCCGGGGGUUCGAAUCCCUCUUCUUCCGC